This 497-nucleotide ribosomal RNA is filed under the name uncultured bacterium. Its description in RNAcentral is "partial 16S ribosomal RNA". It matches the Rfam family "Bacterial small subunit ribosomal RNA", at positions 28 to 507 of the family's 1533-position model. The record is from RNAcentral.
GACGAACGCUGGCGGCGUGCCUAAUACAUGCAAGUAGAACGCUGAAGAGAGGAGCUUGCUCUUCUUGGAUGAGUUGCGAACGGGUGAGUAACGCGUAGGUAACCUGCCUUGUAGCGGGGGAUAACUAUUGGAAACGAUAGCUAAUACCGCAUAACAAUGGAUGACCCAUGUCAUUUAUUUGAAAGGGGCAAAUGCUCCACUACAAGAUGGACCUGCGUUGUAUUAGCUAGUAGGUGAGGUAACGGCUCACCUAGGCGACGAUACAUAGCCGACCUGAGAGGGUGCUCGGCCACACUGGGACUGAGACACGGCCCAGACUCCUACGGGAGGCAGCAGUAGGGAAUCUUCGGCAAUGGGGGCAACCCUGACCGAGCAACGCCGCGUGAGUGAAGAAGGUUUUCGGAUCGUAAAGCUCUGUUGUAAGUCAAGAACGAGUGUGAGAGUGGAAAGUUCACACUGUGACGGUAGCUUACCAGAAAGGGACGGCCAACUACGUG